Molecule: long non-coding RNA, 2127 nt
Organism: Juglans regia (Persian walnut)
Lineage: Eukaryota; Viridiplantae; Streptophyta; Magnoliopsida; Fagales; Juglandaceae
Exons: 8
Source: RefSeq, a predicted model, not a curated record
UUCUUUGGAAGAGUAUUGGGCAAAAGAUUAUUAUCCCGUAAAUUUUAGACCACGCACAAAUCCUUUCUCCCAUUCUCGGUUCUCUUUCCCGAGUUAUCUCUCUCAAUUCAGAAACCCUCUCUAACCAACUUGCCGCCGUCAGCAGUCGCGGAGCAAGCCGGACAGCAGGGUUUUGUCGUCCUAGGGCCCAACGGAAACCACCUCUCCACGGUGAUGGAUAUUUUUUCGUUGGUCUUCGCAGUGUUGUGAGGCUAGCAUCUUCUAUUUUCGGUUUUGGUCAUCAAUCAGAGGAAUAUCGAAGGUGAAGCGUGGAAGAAAAACUUCCAUUCGGCGCUGAGUAUAUCUUCGUUGGUCUUCGUGCUGCCGUCUUUGCGUCAGUAGCCGCGAAGCAGGACGGACAGCAGCCCUCCUUCAAGCAGUAGCGGCUUUCUCUCGAUCCCUCCUACGUUUCCCAUUCGCAGCCUCCUUGCACUCGUCGUAAGGAAGACCCAUCGAGAUGUCAUCCACCGUCUGGAGCAGAUCGAGCCUCCGGUUACGUCUCUGACCGCCACAGACAGUGCCGGCGUCACCCACAUAGCAAGAUCCACUGUGAGAUCCAGCCCCCAGCGCUCCUCUCUCUACUCCUCUGUUUCUCCCUUCUUCUCUCCUAUACGGAAAUGGCCAAAACGCAAACCGCUCUCACCAAAGUGGAAGCACCAGAAGCAGAGCUAAUGCUGGAUUUUUGUUUGUGUACUUUGGGUUUUCGUUUUAGAGAGUCUCGAUUUUCCUGGAAUGGGUAAUGCUGGAAAUCGGCUUGUAGCUGCCCUUUCACUGGUUAGAGUAGACUUCGAUUGCAAAAAUCCAUUGCUUUUUUGGUUAUUGUCAAUGAAUGAUGGUCAUUGUAGGAUUGAGUGGAAUAAUAUAAGUAAUUUGUUUGGCUAUUUAAGGUGAGACUCUUAAAAUAUUUAAUAUCGGUUGAAAUUGCAAUUGUACUCAUAAAGUUGUAUGCUUUGCCUUGCUGAGGUUAGUGUAAUGGUUGUUGAUGUUGACGAUGCUUCCGUCGGUUGCUGUUAUUAUUGUAUUUUUGUAGCCGAAUGAAUGCCCUUGCCUCACGGAGUGCUGCGAGUUCUCUCUCCUCGGGCCUUAUUGAAAGCCACCCAUUGAAAAAGCCAAUAAGGGGGAACCCUGGAGGAAGAAAAGGUUGAGCAGACCCUUCUACAGCUAAGAAGUUUGAAGAAAACUGUAAACAAUCUGUGGAGCUUGCACAGGAUCGAGCACUACUUAAUAAUCAUGCAGAUGUGCCCAUGGUUCACUAUCCUUCCCAUGACCCUAGGGUACCUUUCAUCUUUAAUCUAGAGCUUGUGAAUUAGAGGAAGCUUUGUGAUUUUGGGUGGUUGGUGGGUGGGUUGGUUUGAAACUUGGAUUGGAGGUGACUAUAGGAGUGGGAUGUUCAGACGAAGAACUUGAAGUGGAUGAGUAUCUUUUUAUGGAUAGGUUAUCUUGUUUCAAUGCUUCCUACUCUCCAAUUGAUGCACUGUAUUGACCUCUUUUGCUUACUGCGUUGUAAUUGACAGGAAAUGGGUCAGCUGCAGAUGGGAAUUCCAAAAGUACAAAGGUGAAUCCAACGGAAAAGGUGGCAGUGUGACAGAAGAAAACUCCCAAUGUGUUCUGGAAACUCGGAAGGCAAUGCUCCACAAAGAGUAAGCAGGGCCUGAGGCGCCACUGCUCAGCUGCGGUCUACUACCUUUGAACAACUGUAACCCUCCCCCUAAUCCUUCAAGCUGAUGUAAUCCACCAGCCAUGGAGCAACAGAUUUAUCAGCCACCGUUGACCAGCAAGCAGAAAGCUAACCGAGCUCAUCAUUGCCCAGCUCAGCCCCUCAAUAAUGCAAAGCCUUCUGUCAAUCUUCUGAUAAAACAAUACCAUGUGAUGACAUAGGUGGUUUGCCAAGUGUUUCUUGCAUACAGAUAUUGUUCUUGAAUAAGAUUAUCAAUUUCUUUUGGAUUAGGACCUUGGAGUUGAGAAUUUUGAUCCAAAAUGGUGAGUAUGGAUUGUGGUUUGAUCUUCCCAUUCUAUUAUGAUGGUAUUUAAUCUUAUGGUCAGUUAGCACUUUAUGAUCAUUCAAAAUCUCAAAACUUUUAUAGAGAA